Non-coding RNA from Xyrichtys novacula (pearly razorfish), 1459 nucleotides. The record is from the annotation of a GenBank genome assembly. Lineage: Eukaryota; Metazoa; Chordata; Actinopteri; Labriformes; Labridae.
CCCGUGCCAUCGACGUCAAAAAUGAACCAAAAAAAAAGGAACAAAAGGGCAAGUAGGAGCAUGCAAAUCCAAAGGCGCUCACAUGCAGAAAAAGUGACAGUCUGUUUCCACUGUACCCAAAAAGACCAAAGGUCACAAUCAACAUUCAUUGCUGUCGCUGGGUUGGACUGUGUAGAAAAGCUCACUGAACAAUGAGUGCAACUGUGGCCCAGAUCUGCCUGACUCUUGUCUCAGCCAAUCAGCCGACCGGAUGUGAAGCACUCUGAUUUCUUUAUUUAUGUACUUCUUGUUUUUCACUUCUAUUUUCUCCUUUCUUCCUCCCUCCCUGGUGCUGGGAGUCUUCAGGGGAAGAGAGGGAGAAAUAGAGAGAGACACAAAUAGACUUCUGGCUGCUUUGCUUGUCCUCAUCCUCCUCUUUUCUCCUCUAAUUGGUGGUUAUGUGUGCAGCAAGGGGGAAGGAAGCGGAGUGAAUGUGUAAUCAUUUGGAGUCUCUUCUCCUUUAGAUGUUUCAUCCCUCUCUUUUUUGUUUGUCUAAUUAUAUACCGAGAUCGGUUAACUCUGUGUUAACUACGCUGGCAAGAAUCCGUGAGCAGCAAAAUCAGGGCAGAUGAGGGGAAGGAAAAAGAUGUAGGGAUGAAAUUACCAGUGGAAAGAUGAUCUAUAGCCUUAACAGUAUUUUCUAAAAUAUCACCUUCGUGUCGCCGUAUUUGUCCCAGGAAGUAAGUUGUUUUCAUAUGCAGAAAAGAGAUUCACCUUUCUGACACCGUCUCAUUAUCUGUGUGUGAGCCUCAUAAGAGACAGUGUGAGAGACUCUUCCUCUCUAUGUAUGUGUGUGUGUGUGUUUGUGCACGUACACCAUGACAGAGGGCCUGUCUGCUGAUCUCAGGAUGCAAUAUGUUAUUUUCUUUCUGUACUGAAACAGACUCCCCCCUCAUGGGAAGUCUACAUCCUUGUCUGCUUUCAGUCUGGGUCCGGCCUUGCUGCUGCCAUUUCUCAUUGUGUUUGUGUGUAAAAUAUGUGUAAAGAAAAAAAUGUGUUAAAUGAACUCCGUGUCUGUAAUCCAUAUCACAGUUUAGAGUUAUUUAUCUUUUUUGCUGAUUCAGUCAUUAAUUCAAUAAAGUUUAGACAGAAUCUAUCCUUCACUGUCUCAUGUGAUCAUUUACAGGCUGGAGCUAUGCAUGAAAUUUGAUGUUCUGAUUCUGAAUACCCCUCUGAUUUCCUUUAAACAAGGCCUCAUGUCUCUCUUUUUACACAUUAUGCACUUCUUCAGUCAUUUAGUAACCAAGCCCCAUGUCCAUGUCCCCAGUCUCUCUGUAUUAUUCAUAGAAAAGCACUUUGUACAGUGGUGCAGAACAGUGGAGGUGAUGUAAUCAUGGCUGCGAGCGUGGCUCCACUCUGUCAUUUAGGAUGAAUUCAUGUGACAAGAAAAAAACACUCAUUUGUUUGUCAGCUUUGACUC